This 1500-nucleotide long non-coding RNA is filed under the name Citrus maxima (pomelo). The record is from RNAcentral. Lineage: Eukaryota; Viridiplantae; Streptophyta; Magnoliopsida; Sapindales; Rutaceae.
AGGCAUUUACCUAUUACAGAGAUGGUGCGAUUUGAUUAGUUUUUUAUUUACCCCUUUCGGUCUUAGAAGAAAGAAAGACAAUUCGGGAUAGAAAAAAAAAAAAAAAAGAUUAUUGAAAAAAUCUACGCUUGUUGAAGGUGAAGUUUAUAGAUAAAACCAUUCCUUCUGUCGUGUAUCCCCGAUUAAUGCAGCCUCAGAUGCUUCAAUUGUCGAUUCUAGUAUUGAGCGAAAGGUUACACCUAUGGGUUCUGUAUUGCAAGUCAACCCUACUACACCAGUACCAAUAGGCGGCAUAGGGGAAGAGGCGCUACGUCUAGGAAUCAGCAACACGAAAACUUUGUUAUAAGCUGCCCCCUUUCCUUAGCGGGAUCGGGACUAAGAAGAAUGGUUGGGAUAACAAACAUCCAUCUCGUUCGUACUGUGGAUACCCGUAUAACCAUCGAAGACUGUUGAAGUGAUUAAUUCCUGUAAAUUAAGGGGCGUUGAGAACAAAGAAAUUGUUGGAGUUUCCGGUUUUAUCUAGUACCAACACGCGUGAUAUUAAGAAAAAAGCUUUUGCAGGAAGGUUGGCUAGAGAUUUCUUGUAAAAACAUUAGCCCCACUUAGUUCAUAAUGAGAAUAUUUCAAUCUUUUUUGAUUUCAUGGAUUAUUCUCAUAAUGCACAUAAAGGAGGAGCCGUAUGAGAUUUUCAUCUCAUGUACGGUUUUGAAACGGAGAAUUCUUUGAAUCGAAUGACGACCGUAACGGAUGUCAGCUCAAUCUGAAGGCAAUUAUGCGGAAGCUUUACAGAAUUAUUAUGAAGCUAUGCGACUAGAAAUUGAUCCUUACGAUCGAAGCUAUAUACUCUAUAACAUAGGCCUUAUCCACACAAGUAACGGAGAACAUACAAAAGCUUUAGAAUAUUAUUUUCGGGCACUAGAACGAAAUCCGUUCUUACCACAAGCUUUUAAUAAUAUGGCUGUGAUCUGUCAUUACGUGCGACUAUCUCUACUAUAGAAAGAAAAAAGUAAAAGAAAAAAAAAAAAGGAGGGGGGGUAAAGAGCAAAUACACUAAUAAAUACUCGAAAAAAAAAAAAUAGGCUUUCUACAUAUGCAUCGUGCAAAAACGAUUUUUAUCAGCUGUAGCAAAGAAAGAAACUUCAUAGAAGUCGAAAUAUGAAGAAAUCGAUAUGCCUAGAUAGUUUAUUCUAUGGAUAAAGGAUCUAAUUGAUAGAGGAAGCACCGUAAAGAUCAAUUCGCGAGGUUUUGGGCCGAUGCCGAUCCAAUAAGAACUGCUUAUUUAUGUCAUGAUAUGAGAUAAAAGUAAGGAAUCCACUUAUGUAAUAAAGUCGAUCCCCUAAGGUAUUGAGCAGCGGUGUAGCAUCAGAUCCCAAAGACAGUAAGCCUUUUCUUUCUUAGGAAGAAAGGGCUUUUUCAAAGAUUCUAUAUCAAUUUUUAUAUGAAACCGAGAUAGAUACCUUUCAGAAAAUUCUAACUAUAGUGGAAAUGCUUCUAUGUUAU